This 743-nucleotide ribosomal RNA is filed under the name Hypogymnia imshaugii. RNAcentral's name for it is "mitochondrial SSU rRNA". It matches the Rfam family "Bacterial small subunit ribosomal RNA", at positions 453 to 1148 of the family's 1533-position model. The record is from RNAcentral. Lineage: Eukaryota; Fungi; Ascomycota; Lecanoromycetes; Lecanorales; Parmeliaceae.
UUCUAGGUAGAAUUAUGAUAAUGACAUUGUCUGCCUAUGUGUCUUGACCAAAUUACGUGCCAGCAGUCGCGGUAAUACGUAGAAGACUAGUGUUAUUCAUGUUUAAUCGGUUUAAAGGGUACCUAGACGGUAAAUCAAGCCUAAAAUUAAAUGAAGGGACUAAUUUACUAGAGUUACUUAUGAGGGGGUAUUAAAGUACUGCUGGUGUAGAGAUGAAAUUCUGUCAUACCUCUUUUCAAUAGAAAAACAAUGGCACAGGUAUAGGCGAAAGCAUCCCCUUAUGUGAUAACUGACGUUGAGGGACGAAGGCUUUGUGUAGCGAACAGGAUUAGAUACCCCAGUAGUCAAAGCAGAAAAUGAUGAAUGUCAUAGAUUAGAUAAAUAAGUUUAUUCUAUAAAUGAAAGUGUAAGCAUUCCACCUCAAGAGUAAUUUGGCAACAUUGGAACUGAAAUCAUUAGACCGUUUCUGAAACCAGUAGUGAAGUAUGUUGUUUAAUUUGAUGAUCCGCAAAAAACCUUACCACAAUUUGAAUAUUUAUAUUUUUUUAUUGUUUUCUUUUUAAUUUUCUUCUGAUUUGAUUUUUCUAAAGAAAAAAAGAAAAAGAGGCGAUAUGAUAUAUUUACAAGCGUUGCACGGCUGUCUUCAGUUAAUGUCGCGAGACUUUGGUUAGUUCCAUUAAAUUAACGUAAACCCUUACUUUAUUUUUAUAUAGAGUAGUUCCCCGCUAUAUUGGAUAUGAUAA